Molecule: unclassified non-coding RNA, 1415 nt
Filed under: Caenorhabditis elegans
Lineage: Eukaryota; Metazoa; Nematoda; Chromadorea; Rhabditida; Rhabditidae
Description: Non-coding transcript of protein-coding gene Y50D4A.4c
Source: RNAcentral
AUAUGGCAGAGUUUAUGUGCUAGUGUUCAAAUACAGUAACCGGAACGCCACAGUGCUCGAUCUCUAUGAAUUGCCAUUUGAUGCGGCUACAGGACCCAGUUUCAAGCAUUCAUUAAUUUUAGGAUUCAAUGGUGGCUGUGGUAUUCAUGUAAUCGAUAAUUUGGUCGUUGUACAUCACCAGGCGUCGCAAAAAUCGCUGAUUUUUGAUAUAAGAGUCAGCUCGCCGAGCAAGAGUCAUUCACCUCUUGUUGUCACCACAAUAGAAUCCCAUCCACAACACCAGCCACCUCCAGCUCUCUACACCAAUUUCUGGUUCACCUUCCUCCCCGACAUCGUCAUUGAUUCGUCUGGCGGUGUGAUGUACUCGAUUCGUCUGAAAAAUGAGCACGCUCAACUCGAAAUCGCCGACAAACAAACGAUGCUCGAAUAUUUGGCGAGACGGAGCAACGAGAAGAAGCUGUUCGUGACGACAUUGUUGGCUUGCCUCAAAGCUCGCGCUCUGUCUCUCCGACAAAUCCGGAAAGUAUUCGCAAUGCUCACAGGAGUUACUGGAAAAUCGUCUGCUAGUGAAAAUUCAGUUGAAAAUGGCUCUGGAAGUAGCCAGAAGCCCGUAUUAGACUGCGAGAAAUACGCGAGUUUGGCAGUGACGCAGCAGGAAAUGCAAAGCUCUGUUCUCAUUCCAUUGAGGGAAGAAGUAUCGCUACCCGAAUCAUACGUGGCAAAUAUUAUGCUCCAGUAUCUACGGUCGCUCUUCGACGCAGAAAUAACGCCAGAAGCCUACCUAAUUGAAAUGGUCGUUGAGACACUGGCCGAAGCUGGCGAGAUGUCGAAAUUACAGCAAAUUGUCACCUAUAGGGUUAUUAACGACUCCAAACCAUUGGCAUUCUUGUUACUAUCCUACGAAGCUCGAUGCUCGACACUUUUCCAAUCGGGAGUGGAUAUUCUUGCCAGAAACAAGGCUAGCGAUGAAAUUGUUGAAGUGAUGCUCGAGAAAAAGCAAAUCGUCGACGCAUUUCGAUUUAUCGAUGUACGGAAUCUGAACGAUGCUUUGAUCCCGAAAGUUGUGGAAGCUGCCAAUCAGCACUGCGUUCGGCAGACAAGAUAUGCCAUUAAAGAGCAUUUAACAGAGAAAAAAGCUAAAGCCUCCCUCUAUAAAUCGAUUGGCGACGAGCUGUACACUGCCGAGGAAGUGAAAGGAGCCAGCGAAGAGCAGGCCACGUGUGCUCUGUUUGAGAUUUAAUUUGGUUUUUAUUUCAUUUGUCUGGUAAAUUAAUGGUGCUCCCCUACUUAUGUAUAUGUGAUUUUACGGUUUUGUCGAGGUGCUAUGUAAGUGAUUUUGUCGAUAUUUUGGAUUAUUACUAUUGAAAUUGUUUAAUUUUUGCGUAAUUUGUAAAAUGAAUAAAACAUUUAUUGUA